This 253-nucleotide ribosomal RNA is filed under the name uncultured bacterium. RNAcentral's name for it is "partial 16S ribosomal RNA". It matches the Rfam family "Bacterial small subunit ribosomal RNA", at positions 524 to 776 of the family's 1533-position model. The record is from RNAcentral.
UACGUAGGGGGCAAGCGUUAUCCGGAAUUACUGGGUGUAAAGGGUGCGUAGGUGGUUGCUUAAGUCAGAUGUGAAAGCCCGAAGCUCAACUUCGGGACUGCAUUUGAAACUGGGCAACUAGAAUACAGGAGAGGUAAGUGGAAUUCCUAGUGUAGCGGUGAAAUGCGUAGAUAUUAGGAGGAACACCAGUGGCGAAGGCGACUUACUGGACUGUUAUUGACACUGAGGCACGAAAGCGUGGGGAGCGAACAGG